Small nucleolar RNA from Panicum virgatum (switchgrass), 107 nucleotides. The record is from RefSeq and is a predicted model, not a curated record. Lineage: Eukaryota; Viridiplantae; Streptophyta; Magnoliopsida; Poales; Poaceae.
AUGCUAUGGUGUGGGUAUUUUGCAAUGUAUUACUGGAGACGUUCCUAGGCUUCUAGGACUAUUUCAUCCUAGAGUUUUUGAAAACUGGAAAUCAUGUUCUGAAGAGC